AGCAGCUUGGGACUCCUGAGCACCGGCUGAAAUCCAGACCUCCACUCAGCUAAAUACUGAUCCCAUCGUGCCUGCACUGUGUGGGUGGACUUCUCAUAGAGUUCAAUGGGACCGCACAGAUUUUCUCAGAUUUCCCAGCACAUGCAACUCCAUUAGGCCCAUCAAAAUUAAUAGGAAGGCAAGGCUGUGCAUGGAAGAAUACAGUUUUGUAAUCAUUUUGAAAAACAAAUGAAUCCAUAUUGUUGCAAGUAUGGAAGAACAUGCCUGCAACUAAGCAUCGAGGACUCCUAUGAAGAUACUCUGAGGUAUAUGGUUCAGCUUAACCUAAGGUCAAAAAAUGGACACCUUUAACUUUGGAAAUAUUUAUUACAAAGUCUAUUUGGACAGAAUGAGAAAGAUAUAUUGUUUCAGCUUGAGACAAGGCACUUCUGUUACUUGAGAGUUACUGCCUCAACUCACGUCAAGGCCCUAUGGAAAACAUGGACCACUUUCCAUACCUCAGGAGCCAUUCUUCAGCAAAGGCAAAUAUCAAUGAUAAAACUCACCACCAUCUUCAGUGCACUAACACAGCUUUUGGUCAAUUGGGGAAAAGGAUGCUUGAAGGUCAGGGCCUCAAACUGGCAUAAACUCAUAGUCUACCAGGCAGCAAUGAAUCAUGACCUCCUACAUGCUUCUGAGACCUGGACUAUCUGUAGCAGGAAUUUCAAGGCACUGGAAAGAUAUGCUACCUCUGCAAAAUCCUUCAAAUUCACUGAAAAGAUAAGCAAUAUCAGUCUCUUCUCACAAGCCAAUAUCCCCAUAAUUGAGGCCCUAGUGACACUCAGUUCCAUGGAGGAAACUAUGUCACAAACCUGAAACAUAUACUCUAUUUUGAACUCUACCGCAGGACGAUACAAGCAGGCAGACAUAGGAAAAUAUAUAAGGAUGUGCUCAGAGCAUCCUUGAAAAAAUGCAACAACUCCACCGACUUGGGAAUUCUAAGCCCGUGACCAUUCAGACUGGAGAAGAAACACUUGGGCUGAUAUUGAGAAUCUUGAGAGGUAGGGUCUGCGAUUCUCACAUUGGCCUCAUCAAUCAGCUCACAACCUGCAAAACCAGAGUGGAGGCAAGUCAUCCUCAAU
Molecule: long non-coding RNA, 1121 nt
Organism: Pristis pectinata (smalltooth sawfish)
Lineage: Eukaryota; Metazoa; Chordata; Chondrichthyes; Rhinopristiformes; Pristidae
Exons: 4
Source: RefSeq, a predicted model, not a curated record